This 626-nucleotide long non-coding RNA is filed under the name Rhinopithecus bieti (black snub-nosed monkey). RNAcentral's name for it is "lncRNA (ENSRBIG00000046053.1)". The record is from RNAcentral. Lineage: Eukaryota; Metazoa; Chordata; Mammalia; Primates; Cercopithecidae.
UCAUUCUAAACCUGUUUUCUCCUUUCCCUGCACAUUAAACCUUGAAGUCUCCAGGAUUUCCUCCUCCAGGUCUGAAAAUUGAUUUAAGAAACGGUGUUCUGUGGCAAACAAAGGGAGAUUGAGACGGUCAUCCAUUCCUAUAGGCACACCAUCCAACUUGGACAGAGGCAACCUUGUUCAGACCUAACUUCUUGCUGCCCAAGGUCCAUUGCUGGAAGACAAUGGAGAAUAAAAAAACUUAUUCCACAAUAGCAGAGACUUCUUUUAUUACUGCUUCCAGGAAAGUUAGAAACUUGCAGAUUUAUGAAGCUGUGAGCCUCACUCUGCUUCUGGAGCUUGCUUCUCCAUUCUCAACUUGACUCUGCUUAAACUGAAGAGGAUGGGCUGCAGACCUUGACAUAUUCUGUGAAACCCUGAAGUAGUUGCAUCCCCAUCUGUUGUUUUUUUGAGCAGCAUAUCACAUACAGAUCUGAUGUCCACAGUCGCCCCUUCCAUUCAUGUGCUGCCUUUGUCAGCAUUCUCCAAUGGCUCACAUUUUGGUUCUAGCUUGUCUUAGUGUGUUUUCUGUUGUUGUAACAGAAUACCACAGGCUAUGUAAUUUAUGAAGAAAAGAGACUUAUCUGGCU